RNAcentral lists this ribosomal RNA (642 nucleotides) under uncultured cyanobacterium. RNAcentral's name for it is "bacterial SSU rRNA". It matches the Rfam family "Bacterial small subunit ribosomal RNA", at positions 81 to 756 of the family's 1533-position model. Lineage: Bacteria; Bacillati; Cyanobacteriota. The record is from RNAcentral.
AGUCUUCGGACUGAGUGGCGGACGGGUGAGUAACACGUGAGAACCUGCCUUAAGGUCGGGGAUAACAGUUGGAAACGACUGCUAAUACCGGAUGUGCCUACGGGUGAAAGAUUUAUUGCCUAAAGAUGGGCUCGCGUCUGAUUAGCUAGUUGGAGUGGUAAUGGCACACCAAGGCGACGAUCAGUAGCUGGUCUGAGAGGAUGAUCAGCCACACUGGGACUGAGACACGGCCCAGACUCCUACGGGAGGCAGCAGUGGGGAAUUUUCCGCAAUGGGCGAAAGCCUGACGGAGCAAGACCGCGUGAGGGAGGAAGGCUCUUGGGUUGUAAACCUCUUUUGUCAGGGAAGAACACAAUGACGGUACCUGACGAAUCAGCAUCGGCUAACUCCGUGCCAGCAGCCGCGGUAAUACGGAGGAUGCAAGCGUUAUCCGGAAUUAUUGGGCGUAAAGCGUCCGCAGGUGGUUGUACAAGUCUGCUGUCAAAGCGCGGAGCUUAACUCCGUAAAGGCGGUGGAAACUGUGCGACUAGAGUUCGGUAGGGGUCGCGGGAAUUCCCAGUGUAGCGGUGAAAUGCGUAGAUAUUGGGAAGAACACCGGUGGCGAAAGCGCGCGACUGGACCGAGACUGACACUCAUGGACGA